AAAAUAUAUAUUACUGCAAAGAAGUUUUAUUUAUAGUUUGUUUUAUACCUUUUGCAUAAUGGUUUAAUUAUAUAAUAAUUAGAAUUUAUAUUCCCGAAGUUAGAAGAUCUAAUUCUAUUAUAUUUUUAGAUAUAACUAUAUAAUGUUUCAAAAUUAUAAUAAUAAAUACAAUUAGGGGUGAAAGGCUUAUCAAUUCUAACGAUAUCUGGAAUAAUUUUAAAUGUAUUUAGUACAGAAUAAAAUUUGAAUAAUGAAAUGUUAAGAUUUUUUUUUAUUUACUAGAAUAUUAAUUUAUUUUAUAUUAUGAAUUAAUCUUCCAAUAUUUUAAUAAUUUAAAAUUUUUUAUUUAUUAUAUCUAAAAUAAUAAAAUUAUAUAUUUAUUAACUUAUAUAAAAAUUAAUUAUGUUAAAAUUAGUAUAAUAUUUUUUAUUUUAAUAAGGAACUCGGCUAAUUAUUAUUCACCUGUUUAUCAAAAACAUAGUCUUAUGAAUUAAUAUAAGGUGUAACCUGCCCAUUGAAUUUAAAUUUUAACGGCCGCAGUACCUUGACUGUGCUAAGGUAGCAUAAUAAAUUGACUCUUAAUUGGGGCCUUGAAUGAAAGGAUCAAUGAAUAAUUUCUGUCUCAUUAUAAUUUAUUUUAAAUUACUUAAAAGGUGAAAAUUCCUUUAAUAUAUAAAAUAGACGAGAAGACCCUAGGAGUUUUCAAUUUUGUUGGGGCGACAAUAUAGCAUUAUAACCUAUAAUAUAUUAAUUUAUAUAACGAAUAAUUUUAAUAAUAAAUAAACUACCCUAGGGAUAACAGCAUAAUUUAAUUUUAAGUUUGUGACCUCGAUGUUGGACUAGGAACCUUUAAAGCUAACAGCGUUAAUUGAUAGUUCUGUUCGAACU
Molecule: ribosomal RNA, 888 nt
Filed under: Howearion hilli
Lineage: Eukaryota; Metazoa; Mollusca; Gastropoda; Stylommatophora; Helicarionidae
Description: partial 16S ribosomal RNA
Source: RNAcentral